RNAcentral lists this ribosomal RNA (445 nucleotides) under uncultured Rhodocyclaceae bacterium. Its description in RNAcentral is "bacterial SSU rRNA". It matches the Rfam family "Bacterial small subunit ribosomal RNA", at positions 936 to 1382 of the family's 1533-position model. The record is from RNAcentral. Lineage: Bacteria; Pseudomonadati; Pseudomonadota; Betaproteobacteria; Rhodocyclales; Rhodocyclaceae.
AUGAUGUGGAUUAAUUCGAUGCAACGCGAAAACCUUACCUACCCUUGACAUGUCCGGAAUCCGAAGAGAUUUGGGAGUGCUCGCAAGAGAGCCGGAACACAGGUGCUGCAUGGCUGUCGUCAGCUCGUGUCGUGAGAUGUUGGGUUAAGUCCCGCAACGAGCGCAACCCUUGUCAUUAGUUGCCAUCAUUUGGUUGGGCACUCUAAUGAGACUGCCGGUGACAAACCGGAGGAAGGUGGGGAUGACGUCAAGUCCUCAUGGCCCUUAUGGGUAGGGCUUCACACGUCAUACAAUGGUCGGUACAGAGGGUUGCCAACCCGCGAGGGGGAGCUAAUCCCACAAAGCCGAUCGUAGUCCGGAUCGCAGUCUGCAACUCGACUGCGUGAAGUCGGAAUCGCUAGUAAUCGUGGAUCAGCAUGUCACGGUGAAUACGUUCCCGGGUCUU